This 1111-nucleotide long non-coding RNA is filed under the name Ananas comosus (pineapple). Its description in RNAcentral is "long non-coding RNA (ACOM_LNC015817)". The record is from RNAcentral. Lineage: Eukaryota; Viridiplantae; Streptophyta; Magnoliopsida; Poales; Bromeliaceae.
UCCUUUUUUAGGAUUUUUUUACAAAAUAAUCAUCUAAAAUUUUAUAAUUUAUAAAAUAAUCCUAUCAAAUUUGUAUUUGGUAAAUUAACUCUCAAAACGCGAUGAAUCAUUCACCGCAUUCUGAAAGUCUCUAAGGUCUUUUAAAUUCUUCAUAAUUUUUUGGGAAAGAGAAAAAAAUGAAAUUGUUAUAAUUGUACGUAGAUUAUACGGGAAAUAAAAAAAGUGUGGUUGUUAGGAUUGUGUGUGGAAUAUUAGAAUUUUUGUUUGAUUGUUAGAAUUAUAUGGAUAGAUUAUUAAAUUUUUUUUGAUUGUUAGGAUUGUAUGGAUAGAUUAUUAGACAGAUUGUUAAGAUUAUAUGUGAUUUGUUGAAAUAUUUAUGUGGUUGUUAGGAUUAUAGAAAGAAACAAUAAACAAGUGAAAGGCGGUGAAUGAUUCACCGCUUUUCUGAGAAAUUAGGCUCUUUAUGAAAGCGGUGAAUCAUUCACCGUCUUUAAGAGAUUAGUUUUUNAAGUGUGGUUGUUAGGAUUGUGUGUGGAAUGUUAGAAUUUUUGUUUGAUUAUUAGAAUUGUAUGGAUAGAUUAUUAAUUUUUUUUUGAUUGUUAGGAUUAUAUGGAUACAUUAUUUGGAUUUUCAAAUUGUUAAGAUUAUAUGUGAUGUUUGAUUAUUACGAUUGUAUAGAUAGAUUAUUAGAAUCUUUUUGAUUGUUAGGAUUGUAUGGAUAGAUUAUUAAAAUUUUCAGGUCGUUAAGAUUACAUGUGAUUUGUUGAAAUAUUUAUGUGGUUGUUAGGAUUAUAGAAAGAAAUAAUAAAUAAGUGGAAGGCGGUGACUUUUUUGAAAAAUUAGGAUCUUUAUAAAAACGGUGAAUCAUUCACCGUCUUUAAGAGAUUAGUUUUUAAAAUAUAAUUUUGGCAAAAUUAUUUUUCAAAUAAUAAAAUUUUAAAAGAUUAUUUUUUUAAAAAAAUCCCCUUUUUAACCCUCUCUAUCGUCCUCACGCGGCAACCAUAUUUAAAAGAGGAGUAAUACUUGCUGCAUAUCUAUCUACAAAAUGUAAAUUUUACACUCUAUUCAUGCAAAGACUACUAUUAUCUUGUUGGUCUUAUCAACUAUUUGU